CUCACCCCCCUUUGACUGAGCUAACCACGCUACACUUCACACAGUUUUUGAAGGAACUCGGUAGGGAGGUUGUUCCAAACUAGCCACAGUUCUUUUGUGGAUUUAGGCAGCCUCAAAUGCUUCCGUCUCUUCAUGUAAUCCCAGGCAGAGUCAAUGAUGUUGAGAUCAGGGCGCUGUGGGGGCCAUACCACUUUAGGACUCCUUGUUCUUUACGCUGAAGAUAGUUCUUAAUGACAUUGGCUGUAUGUUUGGGGUCGUUGUCCUUCUGCAGAAUAAAUUUGGGGCCAAUCAGAUGGUAUUGCUUGAUGGAUAGCAUUGAAGAGACCAUUAAUUCUGACCAAAUCUCCAACUCCAUUUGCAGAAAUGCAGACCCAAACUUGCAAGGAAUCUCCAACAUGCUUCACUGUUGCCUGCAGACACUCAUUCUUGUACCGCUCUCCAGCCCUUCAGCUGCCAUUUUUCUGCACCUCAGUUCCUGUGUUUUUGUGCAUAGUUGAGUUGCCUGGCCUUGUUUCCACGUCGGAGGUAUGGCUUUUUGGCCGCAAUUCUUCCAUGAAGACCACUUCUGACCAGAUUUGUCCACACAGUAGAUGGGUGUACCUGGGUCCCACUGGUUUCUACCAAUUCUGAGCGGAUGGCACUGCACUACAUCUUCCGAUUGUGAAGGGAGAGCUUGGACAGCACAUCUGGAAACCCCUGUCUGCCUUGACAUUUCUGCCUGGGAGAGACCUUGCUGAUGUAGUAUAACUACCUUGUGUCUUGUUGCUGUGCUCAGUCUUGCCAUGGUAUAUGACUUCUGACAUUAAACUGUCAUCAGUAACCUCA
This is a long non-coding RNA of Conger conger (European conger), 825 nucleotides long. RefSeq lists it as uncharacterized. The record is from RefSeq and is a predicted model, not a curated record. Lineage: Eukaryota; Metazoa; Chordata; Actinopteri; Anguilliformes; Congridae. The transcript has 2 exons.